Molecule: non-coding RNA, 28 nt
Filed under: Mus musculus (house mouse)
Lineage: Eukaryota; Metazoa; Chordata; Mammalia; Rodentia; Muridae
Source: RNAcentral
UAAAAGGCAUUCUUUUUCCAUUUUAAAG